CCUACGUGAGGCAGCAGUAGGGAAUCUUCCACAAUGGGUGAAAGCCUGAUGGAGCAACGCCGCGUGGGUGAAGAAGGUCUUCGGAUCGUAAAACCCUGUUGUUAGAGAAGAAAGUGCGUGAGAGUAACUGUUCACGUUUCGACGGUAUCUAACCAGAAAGCCACGGCUAACUACGUGCCAGCAGCCGCGGUAAUACGUAGGUGGCAAGCGUUAUCCGGCUUUAUUGGGCGUAAAGGGAACGCAGGCGGUCUUUUAAGUCUGAUGUGAAAGCCUUCGGCUUAACCGGAGUAGUGCAUUGGAAACUGGGAGACUUGAGUGCAGAAGAGGAGAGUGGAACUCCAUGUGUAGCGGUGAAAUGCGUAGAUAUAUGGAAGAACACCAGUGGCGAAAGCGGCUCUCUGGUCUGUAACUGACGCUGAGGUUCGAAAGCGUGGGUAGCAAACAGGAUUAGAUACCCCGGUAGUC
This 465-nucleotide ribosomal RNA is filed under the name uncultured bacterium. RNAcentral's name for it is "partial 16S ribosomal RNA". It matches the Rfam family "Bacterial small subunit ribosomal RNA", at positions 338 to 795 of the family's 1533-position model. The record is from RNAcentral.